Molecule: ribosomal RNA, 467 nt
Filed under: uncultured bacterium
Lineage: Bacteria
Description: bacterial SSU rRNA
Rfam family: Bacterial small subunit ribosomal RNA
Source: RNAcentral
AUAAACGCUGGCGGCGUGCCUUAGGCAUGCAAGUCGAACGGGUUGUCGCAAGAUAAUCAGUGGCGGACGGGUGAGUAAUGGUAAGGUAUCUACCUUUUAGAGGGGUAUAGCUUUCCGAAAGGAGGGGUAAUCCCCCGUAUUUUACGUUUGGUAAUUCUUACGUAACAAAGAGCAUAACUGCUUGCUAGAAGAUGAGCCUUACUCCUAUCAGCUUGUUGGUGGGGUAAUGGCCUACCAAGGCUAUGACGGGUAGCUGGACUGAGAGGUCGAACAGCCACAAUAGCACUGAGACACGGGCUAUACACCUACGGGUGGCAGCAACCAGGAAUAUUGGGCAAUGGGCGAAAGCCUGACCCAGCGACGCCGCGUGGAGGAUGAAGGCUUUAGGGUCGUAAACUCCUUUUGCAAGAGAAGCCCCGAUUAUAUCGGGGGACGGUAUCUUGCGAAUAAGCAUCCGCAAACUACGU